Solanum tuberosum (potato) is the source of this 2547-nucleotide long non-coding RNA. RefSeq lists it as uncharacterized. The record is from RefSeq and is a predicted model, not a curated record. NCBI's taxonomy places the organism in Eukaryota, Viridiplantae, Streptophyta, Magnoliopsida, Solanales, Solanaceae. The transcript has 5 exons.
UGCAGAUUAGUGAAUGAGGUCCUUUGCAGGUCAGUUUGAGUGCUUUUUCUUUCUUGUUUCCGGAGCUUGUUCAGUACAAUCAGACUCAAGUGGACAACAUUACUAAAUUAGAGCGAAGCUGCUCUAUGUACCUUUGAAUCAACAAACUCAAGAAGUGGAGGGAUACCAUGGCCUUCAGUCCUAUAGUCACAAAAUAAAAUCAAAGCAAGAAAAAUAGAUUGUAACUGUAUCAGUUGCCCGUUGAAUAGCACCAUUGACUCCUCAAGAGUUCUAAGCAUUUAUGUGCCUCUUCAGCAGAUUAAGAAUAUGAUGCAAACAACAUUAAUAACAAGACGAGACAAAGCUACAACAGAUAAAGAAGAUAAGAUAAAAUCUUUUGCAACACAGUAAUAUAGAGCUUUUCAAAUUGAAGUUUCCUCCACCUCACUUUUUGUUGUAUCUAGGAGCCUCUAGUAUGUCUUAUAACACAUUCCAUAGGAACUCUUACCACUGUUUCUUGUCAUUACUGGAUAUGAAUAUGUAGUUAACAUCUUGAUCAAGUUUUUAAGUUGAAGCCUAAGGUGAUUACUUGAUUUACCAAGCAUUGUCUUUGACUGUUGAUACAAUAAAUAAUAGGAUCAAAUUUAAUUUCAUAUGCAUCAUUACAUGAUUUUAAAUAAUCUAUGCUCUGUUUAUCUCUUUCAUUGUGCGAGACAUUAGUUAUUGUGCCUUAGGAAUAUGAUGAUAGAAAUUAGUAAAGAAUGUGAACUUAUCAUCUGAAAUCUUUAUAGGUUUCACAUGGACAAUGAACUGGUCCUAGCUUACUGUCACAGAACAGGUACUUAUUGGAUUUUUUAAAAUUAUUUUGAACUUUAAAAGGGUAUAAAUAUAGCACCAGACAUCAUAAUAUUCUAUUCCUGCACAAACUAUGUUAUAUCUAUCUGCAUAUCCAAAUUCCUAACUGGCCAUAUAAUGAACCAACUCGACCAAGACUAGAAAAGAAAGAGAUGAGUUUAACUAAAAUCUAUAUGCUUCAACUAUGGUGUUACUUGAGACCUUAACUAAAAUGACAUUGAUAGUAGCAACAAUACCUAUGCUGGUUCUUUGAAUGUUCAAGGGUCUGUUAAUGAUGAAAAUGUCCUAGCUUUCAUAAGAGUCAAUAAUCCUAAUUCUGUUUCUAAGAUUCUCAGAGAAGUUCCUGGAAAUGACAAGUGCUUUGAUUGUGGUGCUUCAGAACCUGAUUGGGCUUCUCUAAAUCUUGGCAUCCUAAUUUGUAUAGAAUGCUCGGGCAUUCAUCAAAACCUUGGUGUUCAUAUCUCAAAGGUAAGGUCCAUAACAUUAGAUGUCAGGAUUUGGGAACCUACCAUCUUGGAUCUAUUCCGCACAUUGGGUAAUUCUUAUUAUAACUCGAUGUGGGAGAAGCUGCUUCAACUUCCAAGUGACGGGUAUGUAACCUUAGUUGAUAAUAUAUACAAAAAAGUCAUUCUUCCAUGGGUAUAAAUUUCUAUAGAUCUUGUAUGUUUAUUGAUAUUUGGGUUCAGAUUUAAUGUGGAAGGUCCUCUCCGAGCCAAGAAAAGACAAAAUGUUGAGAGAUAUCAAAGAUCACAAAAUUCCAACUUAACAGUUCCCAGGAUUAUGUUCACAUUUCUAUUCAUUCUUCAAUUGAAGUAGUUAAUUUACAAUCUAUUUUUCCAUUACAAUUUGACAUUCUACCUGGGUCAGCCUAUCUAUUCAGUACACAUUGUCGGAUAGAUAAUGUUCCCACGUGCCAUGAUGAUAUAACAUGAAUUUAACUCAAAUAUUUUUAGAAUGUUUUGUUGGUGUUAGCUCAUGUAAAAUGAUUAAUUCAUUCAAAUUAACAAAUGUUGAUGCUAUUCAAUUUGCUUCCAAGCCAAGCCUCAAAUAUGCCUUUCAUGAAAAGGAGAAGUAUAUUUUGGCAAAGGUAUACUUUCUUGCAUAUUUUAAGGGCUUUCCUUCUCCAUGUUAUACAUUUUAUCCCUUGUGCUAAGCUUGAUCAUCCAUCAACUCGGUCUUCUUGUUUUUCCAUGGAAUUCUACAAAGAGAAUCUCAUGAUCAUUUGUCUGUUGUUUCAUUAGUAGUGGAGGUCCAAUGUAGAAACAAUGUGUCUUCCCACUUAUUGUGAAAGAACUAUUUAAACAAUGUGUCUUUUGUGGUUUAUAGCAGCAGAAAUAGUUGACAGGUUGUGACAGUAGAAACUUUGGUUUCUUUUCUCUCUAAUCUAAUCCCAAGCAGACGAGCAAGUGAAUUCUCCAUUUGCAUUGGGCUUCCAGAUUGGUUGAUCAGAAACCAUCGGCUGGUAGUAAAUUUGAGUCGAAAAAAUGGUCGCGACAAGAUUCAGAGGGAAAUGGAGGUGAUCAAAUUUGAAGGGUCGCCACAAGUCAAUUUGAUCUCAUUGAAGUGGAUGAUGAAGAGUUUUUGAACUAUUGUAAAACUUUGAAUACAUUAUGUUUGCUUUUGUGAAAUAUAUUCAUUGCUAGAAUAUAUUGAACUAUUGUAAGAAUACUUUUUUAACUAUUAUGUACACAUAUUUAGAAUAUUGCUUUAUAA